RNAcentral lists this long non-coding RNA (1068 nucleotides) under Oryctolagus cuniculus (rabbit). RNAcentral's name for it is "lncRNA (ENSOCUG00000036019.1)". Lineage: Eukaryota; Metazoa; Chordata; Mammalia; Lagomorpha; Leporidae. The record is from RNAcentral.
AUGUACUCUAGUGGAUUGAGUACAUUUGAAAACAUCACCAAACCCUUUACCCUACACAGUGUUCUUGGAAAAGCCAAGAAACAUAGCUCCAAAGUCAUGAACUGGAAAGUGAAAGUGAUGCACCCUACUCUGCACCUGGCUCUGGUGAAGGGGGCAUGUGAACUGUACAAAAGCAGCAUGGACACGCCCAGCAGGGCACCUGGAAGGGGGCAGCCCUCAGCCAGUGCUAGCUCUCCCCGCUCCUCUUACUGUUCCACCUGGCUUCCCCCCACCCCAGUCCCCAGAACUGAUUCCUGGCCCAACUUGAAAGGCCUCUCAGACUGAGCGAAAGCAAUCUUCUGCCCCUAGUGCAUUGACAUCAAGACCCCAUGGGUACCUCCUUCCUGGCCAGACAUCGCCCUCUGAGCCCAGUGAGGGUGGAGCUCACCAUCCUCAUCAAGAUCUCCCAACUCCACAAACCACAGUUGUCAGAACACACACCCGAGGAAGUGGUCGGGAAGCAACCAGUUGUCGGAAUAAUUUACUGUCCUUGGAAGUUGGCCAACUAGAUGCUGGCCGUGCAGACGCUGGGAAAAUAUUUAUGUGGGUCCUGAUGGAGGCUUGGCCAGGAAAGACUGCCUGCUGUCAUCUUUUCUUCCUGCUGAUAAGGCAAAGCUACACAUGUGAGACAGCUCUUAGAAGGCCUGGCAUCUGAUAAGAGUGAGGUGAAAGGCUGCAGCCUUCCGCUCCAAUGCUGUCUGCUACCACGGAGUUUCACCCUUCCCCGGCCCUCUGGUCCUCCAUCUGUAACACCAUGCAGUAGACCAGAUGACCUCAAGGGCUCUGUGAUCCUGUGAGAUUGUGACUCAGACAGAGGCGAAUGAAUUUUCCAGAUCUGCCAUCAUGAUGCCAUUGGUUCAUCCCAGAGCUAUUUUUCUUGGCACCCUAGAAACGUUCCUGAAAUUCCAGCAUCCUAGGAUUUCUCUUUCCACUGAUCCAGUUUCUGUAACCAGAUGAGAGAACUCCAUCUGGAGGAGGAAACCUUGAGCUUAAAAUAAAAGGGUGAAAUGGAAGAGGGGAAAUUGAGUU